Non-coding RNA from Poecilia reticulata (guppy), 1335 nucleotides. The record is from RefSeq and is a predicted model, not a curated record. NCBI's taxonomy places the organism in Eukaryota, Metazoa, Chordata, Actinopteri, Cyprinodontiformes, Poeciliidae.
CACCUCCCGUCCGGCAGGCGGCGCCCGUCCGCCAUGACGUAUUUAAGCAGCGACGGAACGUUGCCUCGGUCAUUUAACUACAGCCGGGCGAGAGGAGAAGGUAACUCUGUCUUUACUGCUGAUUUUUUGUUUAUCUCAUAGAUUAAAAUGUAUAAUUUAAUAUCAGUCUGUUUAAAUGUGCUACAAUUAAUCGUCAUCUGAUAAUGUGUAGACGAGAUGACGAGUUUAUUUGGUGGAUGGAGUUAGAUUGUUCCACGCUCAUUUCUGUCGCGAACUUUAACUUCCACGUUGUGACGCAUCACGAGCUCAUUUCAUGAUACUUUCUGAUGAAGUUGCGUUUAACUCUUUGCGUUUUACCGAUAAACUUACAGAAGUUUUCUAUAAAAUGAUGUAUUUGUAGCUUUUCCGUGUUUCUGUGGCUUCAACCUGUAUAAUCUGUAAGAGCUGUAGAUUUUGUUGCUGUCCAGCUAUGGACCAAACAAAACAUUUCUAGAUUAUUACAGUAGUAGAUUAAUUUACUGAACAUGUGUAGUAGAAUGAAGUAUGUUCAUUAUGAAUUCACUAUUUUAGUAAAAUAACAUGAUUUAUAAUUUUUUUGUGGCUAAAUUUAACAUCUUUAAUGAAACAUUGUAGCGAAACCCUAUAAAAUUAGAAAACUCUCUUAAUGAGCAGGAAACUAAGCCAACUUGUGGCUCAAACAUCAUAUUAUGUUACCUUUAUUUUAUUACAUUAAUUAGGAGAAUGUAUAUUGAUGUGUAGCUCUGAAUAACUUUAUUUCUCCUCUUUUUUUGCAGGAUUGAUGUGUUGAACCAGCAGCGGCUCAGACCAGGUUAGUCUCCUCCAUGUGAUCCUGGCUACAUUCACUUCCUGCGCUGUGAUGACGCAUUUCCUGCCAUUCGUAGUUUCCACCAGAGGUCUCAAGGACCAAAGAUGGCUUAAAUCUUCCUUGGAUGUCUGAGCGACUUGCUGUCCUCUUCAGACUAUAUUAUUCUUUCUGGUUCUUUUCUGACAACAACUGUUUCCACAGGUUUCUGUUGUUGGUUGGGACAGAAAAUGGCCCUCACAGCCACCGUAGAGGCUCGGUUGCCCUCUACCACAGUGAUGACAGAUGUAUUGAGCAGAAGCAUCUCCUCAGGCUGAAUUCUUCCUGCCGUUUUUCUCGCCAAACGAUGAAGCUGCUGGUCUUUCUCCGCCGACAUCUGCUCCUCUAACUGGUAAGUUUGAUUCUGUUCUUUUUAAACUUGUUUUGGUCGCUGUGAUGACGCAUUUCCUGCCAUUCGUAGUUUCCACCAGAGGUCUCAAGGACCAAAGAUGGCUUAAAUCUUCCUUGGAUGU